UGAUUGGUUGUUGAUGUAA
RNAcentral lists this unclassified non-coding RNA (19 nucleotides) under Dictyostelium discoideum. The record is from RNAcentral. Lineage: Eukaryota; Evosea; Eumycetozoa; Dictyosteliales; Dictyosteliaceae.